GCCGGGAUGGCGGAACAGGGAGACGCGACGGACUCAAAAUCCGUUGGGCUCUGCGCCCGUGGGGGUUCGACUCCCCCUCCCGGCACCA
This 88-nucleotide transfer RNA is filed under the name Candidatus Rokuibacteriota bacterium. RNAcentral's name for it is "tRNA-Leu". It matches the Rfam family "tRNA". Rfam says of the family: Transfer RNA (tRNA) molecules are approximately 80 nucleotides in length. Their secondary structure includes four short double-helical elements and three loops (D, anti-codon, and T loops). Lineage: Bacteria; Candidatus Rokuibacteriota. The record is from RNAcentral.